This 308-nucleotide ribosomal RNA is filed under the name uncultured bacterium. RNAcentral's name for it is "bacterial SSU rRNA". It matches the Rfam family "Bacterial small subunit ribosomal RNA", at positions 30 to 334 of the family's 1533-position model. The record is from RNAcentral.
AUUGAACGCUGGCGGCAGGCCUAACACAUGCAAGUCGAGCGGUAACAGAUCUAGCUUGCUAGAUGCUGACGAGCGGCGGACGGGUGAGUAACGCGUAGGAAUCUACCCAGUAGCGGGGGAUAAGCCAGAGAAAUUUGGUCUAAUACCGCAUACGCCCUUCGGGGGAAAGUAGGGGAUCUUCGGACCUUACACUAUUGGAUGAGCCUGCGUGAGAUUAGCUAGUUGGUGAGGUAAUGGCUCACCAAGGCGACGAUCUCUAGCUGGUCUGAGAGGAUGAUCAGCCACACUGGAACUGAGACACGGUCCAG